GAAGGAUCAUUACCGAGUGAGGGCCCUCUGGGUCCAACCUCCCACCCGUGUUUAUUUUACCUUGUUGCUUCGGCGGGCCCGCCUUAACUGGCCGCCGGGGGGCUUACGCCCCCGGGCCCGCGCCCGCCGAAGACACCCUCGAACUCUGUCUGAAGAUUGUAGUCUGAGUGAAAAUAUAAAUUAUUUAAAACUUUCAACAACGGAUCUCUUGGUUCCGGCAUCGAUGAAGAACGCAGCGAAAUGCGAUACGUAAUGUGAAUUGCAAAUUCAGUGAAUCAUCGAGUCUUUGAACGCACAUUGCGCCCCCUGGUAUUCCGGGGGGCAUGCCUGUCCGAGCGUCAUUUCUGCCCUCAAGCACGGCUUGUGUGUUGGGCCCCGUCCUCCGAUCCCGGGGGACGGGCCCGAAAGGCAGCGGCGGCACCGCGUCCGGUCCUCGAGCGUAUGGGGCUUUGCCGCCCGCCAGGUAGGGCCGGCCGGCCGAAGCAACA
This 488-nucleotide ribosomal RNA is filed under the name Penicillium commune. RNAcentral describes it as "eukaryotic LSU rRNA". The stretch from base 189 to 341 matches the Rfam family "5.8S ribosomal RNA". Lineage: Eukaryota; Fungi; Ascomycota; Eurotiomycetes; Eurotiales; Aspergillaceae. The record is from RNAcentral.